RNAcentral lists this ribosomal RNA (460 nucleotides) under uncultured bacterium. RNAcentral's name for it is "partial 16S ribosomal RNA". It matches the Rfam family "Bacterial small subunit ribosomal RNA", at positions 338 to 795 of the family's 1533-position model. The record is from RNAcentral.
CCUACGGGUGGCAGCAGUGAGGAAUAUUGGUCAAUGGGCGCAAGCCUGAACCAGCCAAGUCGCGUGAAGGAUGACUGCCCUACGGGUUGUAAACUUCUUUUAUAAAGGAGUAAAGUGAGGCACGUGUGCCUGUUUGUAUGUAUUUUAUGAAUACGGAUCGGCUAACUCCGUGCCAGCAGCCGCGGUAAUACGGAGGAUCCGAGCGUUAUCCGGAUGUAUUGGGGUUAAAGGGAGCGUAGAUGGGGCGUCAAGUCAGUUGGGAAAGUUUGCGGCUUAACCGUAUAACUGCAUUUGAUACUGGCAGGCUGGAGUGCAGGAGAGGUAGGCGGAAUUCGUGGGGGAGCGGUGAAAUGCUUAGAUAUUAGGAAGAACUCCGGUUGCGAAGGCGGCUUACUAAACUGUCACGGACAUUGAUGCUCGAAAGUGUGGGGAGCAAACAGGAUUAGAUACCCGAGUAGUC